Molecule: long non-coding RNA, 151 nt
Organism: Microtus oregoni (creeping vole)
Lineage: Eukaryota; Metazoa; Chordata; Mammalia; Rodentia; Cricetidae
Exons: 3
Source: RefSeq, a predicted model, not a curated record
GCUGAAGCCGGCUGGCUGGUGUGGCACCUACCUGUUGUACCCCCUAGACCCAGUCCCACCAGUAAUCCAGCUGAAGCCAGCAGGCAGUUAACCGAUCUGGGAACAGGCUGCGCUGGAAACUGCCCAUUUCCCGGUAAAAGCUUCUAAACUC